This 94-nucleotide non-coding RNA is filed under the name chicken gut metagenome. RNAcentral's name for it is "THF riboswitch". It matches the Rfam family "THF (Tetrahydrofolate) riboswitch aptamer". Rfam says of the family: THF riboswitch presents a pseudoknot that joins P1-P2 and the loop of P3 and two THF binding. The record is from RNAcentral.
GCAGAGUAGACGGUCAGGCGUUAAGUGCUGUCGGGACGGGGAGUUGCCCGGCAGACGAAGGUAUAUCCGCGGUCCGGCUGUCGCAUCCCGCUGC